RNAcentral lists this ribosomal RNA (261 nucleotides) under uncultured bacterium. RNAcentral describes it as "partial 16S ribosomal RNA". The record is from RNAcentral.
CUGCUGCCUUCCGUAGGAGUUUGGGCCGUGUCUCAGUCCCAAUGUGGCCGGUCACCCUCUCAGGCCGGCUACCGAUCGUCGCCUUGGUGGGCUCUUAUCCCGCCAACUAGCUAAUCGGACGCGGGUCCAUCGUAUACCACCGGAGUUUUUCGCACUGGACCAUGCGGCCUUUGUGCGCUUAUGCGGUUUUAGCACCUAUUUCUAAGUGUUAUCCCCCUGUAUACGGCAGGUUGCCCACGCGUUACUCACCCGUCCGCCACU